UCCACCUCCUCCAAGACCUAGCCGCCUCCUCGACCACCCUCCUCCGCCGCCGCCAUCACCGCCGCCCACCCUUCGCGGCUGCCGAGCGCCCUCCACCACAUCCCUGUGCCAGAUCCAUCCCAGACCAUGACGCCGACCACCGUCCACCACACCCCAGCGCCAACUCCCUCACCGACCACGACGCCGAGCACCCUCCGCUGCCCUGACCACGAUUCGCCACACACCAGCAACCCCAAGCAGCCAAGCCUCCUCCAUGCGUUCUCCCCUGGAAUCACCCCCACCAGCUCUGCCGCUUCCAGAAGCUCCUCCCUCGAGCAGCGCCGCCGCUUCCAGGAGCCCCUGCCCGACCAACGUUGAUGUUCCAGAAGCUCCUUACCCAAGCAGCGCCUCCUUCUCUAGGAGCCUCAGCGCUACCUCGUCGUCCUCUCCCCCAAGCAGAUGCCUGUCCUGCGUUCUUUCCCCUGAGUAGGUCUCGGCUACCUCCGCAGCCCAACCAAUGAGAUUUCUCCGUGUCUUGUGAGUUUGAUUAGUCUCAUCUCUGUGAUUUGUGAGGUUUGGUUUGUGCACAGAACAACUGCUAUAGUUUUGAAAAUUUCUUGAAUUGUUACUUUGUUAGAUAGAAACUACUCCAAAAUAGAGUUUAAAGAAAUGAGAUUCAGACAUUAGACUCCAAAUGAAGUGAUGGUUUAAUUGAAUGAUUAGGUAGAAAAUACUCAUUGGAGCAACAGUACCAGCUGAUAUGGUCGUGUUCUGAAAGUAGACCAUAACCAUACGUGUAGGCUUUUCAUAAUCCAAUAUGUUACCUGCAGCUGAGGAUUUAUGUGGAAUACAGAUUACUCUAUACUUUUAUGACCAACUCGUUAUUGUUACUCACAACCUUUUCAGUUCAGGCUAGAACAAGAAAGCCAAAGUGUCAUGUCUUGCCCCUAAAUUUCAUUUUGCAUAGUCAAUAAAUUAGAAAUGGCUAGUACGGUAAUACCUUUAAUAACAGGAAUGUGAAUUUUGUAAGCUAGCUAGGCCAUACAUGCACUUCCAUCUCUGUCAUACAAGUUGGGCAAACUUUGUGUUUGGAUAUGUACUGCACUAAUUGAUAUAGGUAAUUAUAUUCUUGAUGCUACACGAGGUUUGUCUCCUUUUAUCGCCUGCUAAUUGAUGAUUGGUGAUUAUAGUAGGGCAUGGAUGCUGAUUUAUUUAUUUUUUGCUAAGAGUUUGUAUCAUGUGCCUUUCUGUUCUCAUAGUGAAAUGACAAUGGUGCCAAUAUGGUAUAAGAAUUAUGAUGCUUUAAAUGCUGAUAGGGCCAUUUACGUCCUCUGAUUCGUUGCCCGAGCAGAUCUACAGCAUCCUCUACUUCUUAACUGAUGAAGGCAAGCUGGGGACUGGUCCAUUUGCAAAAGCAGCAAUGCAACCACAAGCAAGCUGAGGAGGUGCCUCAAAGAUACACAAGUUGAUCUACAGGCUGCCCUGAAGAUUUGGGAGACCUACGACUAAGUUGGUGUAGUGAAAUUGUAAUAAGCCUUGUUUGUUGAACCUGGAGAUAUUGGCACGUUUUACGCUCAUUUUGUUUUUUGUUUUGGCACAUAAGUCACAAGUUUUACUCUCAUUUUGAUUGUGUUGCACAUCCAGAAACAUAUGUUCUUUUCCUUUUUGUUGCACGUCCUUGUAUAUUGUUGUCUCAUGAAUGUAUCAAAGGAAAAUACAUAUUUUGUCUAUUAUGUUUAUCGAAUGAAGUUUAAGAUUUUGGAUGAGGCCUA
This is an RNA transcript of Triticum dicoccoides, 1751 nucleotides long. RefSeq lists it as uncharacterized. Lineage: Eukaryota; Viridiplantae; Streptophyta; Magnoliopsida; Poales; Poaceae. The transcript has 3 exons. The record is from RefSeq and is a predicted model, not a curated record.